This 253-nucleotide ribosomal RNA is filed under the name uncultured bacterium. RNAcentral describes it as "partial 16S ribosomal RNA". It matches the Rfam family "Bacterial small subunit ribosomal RNA", at positions 524 to 776 of the family's 1533-position model. The record is from RNAcentral.
UACGGAGGAUGCGAGCGUUAUCCGGAUUUACUGGGUGUAAAGGGAGCGUAGACGGAGAGGCAAGUCUGAAGUGAAAGCCCGGGGCUCAACCCCGGGACUGCUUUGGAAACUGCAGUUCUAGAGUGCCGGAGAGGUAAGCGGAAUUCCUAGUGUAGCGGUGAAAUGCGUAGAUAUUAGGAGGAACACCAGUGGCGAAGGCGGCUUACUGGACGGUGACUGACGUUGAGGCUCGAAAGUGCGGGUAUCAAACAGG